AUUGAACGCUGGCGGCAGGCCUAACACGUGCAAGUCGAGCGGAUGAAGGGAGCUUGCUCCUGGAUUCAGCGGCGGACGGGUGAGUAAUGCCUAGGAAUCUGCCUGGUAGUGGGGGAUAACGUCCGGAAACGGGCGCUAAUACCGCAUACGUCCUGAGGGAGAAAGUGGGGGAUCUUCGGACCUCACGCUCUCAGAUGAGCCUAGGUCGGAUUAGCUAGUUGGUGGGGUAAAGGCCUACCAAGGCGACGAUCCGUAACUGGUCUGAGAGGAUGAUCAGUCACACUGGAACUGAGACACGGUCCAGACUCCUACGGGAGGCAGCAGUGGGGAAUAUUGGACAAUGGGCGAAAGCCUGAGCCAGCCAUGCCGCGUGUGUGAAGAAGGUCUUCGGAUUGUAAAGCACUUUAAGUGGGGAGGAAGGGCAGUAAGUUAAUACCUUGCUGUUUUGACGUUACCAACAGAAUAAGCACCGGCUAACUUCGUG
Molecule: ribosomal RNA, 484 nt
Filed under: uncultured bacterium
Lineage: Bacteria
Description: partial 16S ribosomal RNA
Rfam family: Bacterial small subunit ribosomal RNA
Source: RNAcentral